Long non-coding RNA from Monodelphis domestica (gray short-tailed opossum), 3770 nucleotides. RefSeq lists it as uncharacterized. Lineage: Eukaryota; Metazoa; Chordata; Mammalia; Didelphimorphia; Didelphidae. The record is from RefSeq and is a predicted model, not a curated record.
CUGGUCCACCCGGGUUUUCUCUCUCUCCAGGAACUAGGGAGCAGAAAGCUCCACAGCCGAAGCCACAGUGGCAACUUUUGCAUUAACUCCCUCCCCUCCCCCUUUCAAGACAAAAGCCAAAAUCCCAAACUUGUGAACACUCCAGGAGCAGAGACUGCCCUCAAGAGAUUCCCAGCAUGCCUUGAGACUGCACAGGGGGAGGUGCCAAGACUUGGGUAAAGUCAGAAGCCAGGCAUUCUGGGAAAUGAAGUCUUCUAUAAUGGGAGUGCCAAGAUUUGGAGGUCGUCAUGCCAAAGGUGUUGAGGGAAAUGGAGUCUUACUUCCUGGUCCCCUAGGUUUGGAGCUCUGGUGGAGGAGGGGCCACGCACCCAGAGUCCUCAGGCUCCCUGACUUCAGCCGGGUCCUUUUAGUUUCCUUUCCUUUCUGGUACUUUUAACUGUGUGUGUGUGUGUACACACAUUAUGUAUUCUGUCAUAUAGGAAGCGGCUAUUAAGAACCACGGAAGCAUUUCUGAGGAGAACGCAGACUGAGGGGUGAAAUUUGACAACAUCUGGUGAAGAUAUGGCAUGGAAAGGCUGCUUCUCCUACAAUCUGGAUGCUAGAUUAUGAUCUAAACAUUUAAGUCAAAGAGGACCUUUGACAUUUUAAACAAACAGAACAAGUCUUUGGAUACACCUCUGACAAAGUUCCAAUUUCCAGUCAGAAGUCCCAGAGAAUAUCUUCAGCAAGAGUCCCCAGAGUAAGCAUCUCCCUUCAGCCCAAGUCACCAAUCCAAAAGAGACUAAGAAGUGGCUGGGUCUUGACUUAUACUCAAUUUUCUCCAUCCAUUAACUCUCCCAUGUCACAUCUCAGGAACCAAUCAUAGUUCAUUAAUUUUUCUGGCAUUGCUCAGAGGGGACGGACGUGCCUGUGGGAUCAACUCUGAGGGUGUGAACUUCCUUGCAAUCAAUGCUAAAGGAUCUUCAAGUUUCUGACUGAUUACAUUAAAGAAAACAAAGUGAGUGUUAUUUCCCUUUUCACAGUCCCAUUUCAGUCCCUCAUCCUCCUGCAGAGUUUUAGAAGGCAGAAUGGGCUGGGGAUCCCAGAGCAGAUGAGACCAGUCAGAACAUCAAUGAUUCCUGAAGCCAAGCUUUAACUCCAAGGCAUAGGAUGGUUGACAAAUGAAAGUCCUGUAGCUGUGACCUAAUGGGAAGACUGAGAAUGGCACUCCAAGGUCUUGGAGAUAUGAUGGGAGCCUGGGCAAAUAGUAAGGAUGUGAGCUAUGUGUUAAAGGAUGAAAGGUUUGCAAAAACUGUUGCAAAAACUGAGAGAUGCAAACCUCAGAGGAUAAUUGACAGGAUAAUGUGACUAAGGGUCACAUGGGAGCCUGAGGCUUGAGAUCUGGGAAAAUUCUAUGCCCAACGGUGCUUCAUCUCAUAGUCUUCUCUCCUGGAAGGACCCAAGGCUUGAAGAAGAUAUUUUCUCCUGAAACCAGCAGAAGAAAGAGGUUUUUGGAUCUGGCUGCUGGCAGCAUCAGUAAGAAGAUCUCUGGAUCUGCUUGGAUAUCAAACAACUGACGAUCGUGGCCCAUUUGAUUGGACUCCUGGUGUGAAACUUGGAUAUUGGAAAGUUAAUGCUUAGCUUAAUUAGAUAGUUUUAGUUAGUUUAUAGAUAUUAGCUUUUAAGUUAAAUAUAAGUAUUGUUUACACCUAACACCCCUGUUCCUUCCUACCCUUCCACCAAUAAAUCUAAAUUUAUUUAUUUGUUCCCUUUUCUUCUUUCCUCACCCCAAAUCCCAUCAUAACAGUUUGCAGUGCUAAAUGGUCCUUGAAAAACUUAGAAAUGCUUUAAAAUCUUUUUUAUUGGUGCUUUUAGAUCUUGUGCUUUUUAGUAGCAGAGAAUGCAAAUUAGAAUGUAGAAAAGUAGAUGUCUUCCUAUUCUUUAUCUGUGCACUUCCUCCAGAUUGAAAAGGGUUUGCUUGACAUUCGAAGCCUGAAGAGUGGGGGAAGCAUCUGAGGUAACCUGAAGGCUAACAGAUGAUCUUAUGGCUUCAUUCCCUUCUAUAAGAGAUUGCAAGGCUGAGAAAUGAUGCCCCCAGCACCCAAAAACCACCUUGAAAGUCUGGCAAAAAGGAAGGGGGUUGUGAGAAUAACAUCACAUAGGUGCAUGAGGGAUCUUUGUACCCCUAACUGACCCAUCCCCUGAUUCUGGGCCUGAAACAGCCCUGUCACACUCAGGGAAGGAAUAUUCUGAGAAAGGCUGAGUUUCCAUGAAUGGGAAGAAGCAAUCCCCCCAACUCUUAGUAAAAUCUAGAAUCCUGAAAUCCUAUGAGGGACAAUUCCAUUGUCCCCCUACCCCAGGGCUAUUCCAUUGCCUGCAAUGGGGUUUUCCAUUCUCCUGGCUAAACUAUCUGUAAACAUUUUCGAAUAAACACUUUCAUGCCUUAGGAAGACAAAGUCUGAGCUACAGUUCUCUGGGCGAGAACCAGCGUUUGCUCUCACACAACAAAAUUCACUCUCCUACACCAGUACCAGGGGCAGAAAGCAGCCCUUGUGCAAGGCCUAGGAGAAGAACUUCUGCUGACAUUUCUGAAGGACAUCCAAGGAGUUCACAUAGGAAAGAUGAGGCCCAGUGGAAAGGGGCAACCAACAUAAGAAGGGGCAACAAAAGGUAUGAGGCAGAGAGAUCUGAGACCCAAAGGAAGCAGAGAAAUCUGGGCUCCAUGGGAAGAAGGCAGAGAGAUCUACGUUCCAAGGAAAGAUGACAGCUUCCUGUUUAGAAGCAGUCUACUCUGUGGAUCCUCCCAGUUCCUAUGGCCCCACCAGCCUGCCUCUGAAGUCCCAAGGUUAAGGCCUUCCUCCAAUGGCACUCAAGGGCAGGAUCUCAGGACCCUGCCAGUCUCUCCACCCUAAGCCCUGUCCUCUAUUAUCUGUAAUACCACUGCCACCAGAAUGGCCCCUCUGCAGCCUAGAUUCCUCCCAGGCUUCUAAACCACCCCAGGGCUUGUUAUUCUGCCUGGGCAGCAACCUUUAAGACUGGUCACCCUGAGAAGUCUCCCCUUACCCUCCCUCACUCUCCUUUUAUUCUCUUCCAUAUUCUCAGGAUCUAGUGACACUGCUUUUCUUACUUUCCUCACACAAGUCUCUCCCUGAGACUCUGUAGAACUCUAGAAUUUUUGCCAAGAAAUCCCCAAAUGGGGUCACAAAGGGGCAGACACACCUACAAUGACUGAACAACAACAAUCCCACAACAACAACAAACAGAACAGGGGAUCUCUAAAAGUGGGAGACCUAAGUGUCCAUCACCCACCUAGCAUGUAGGUCACACUCCUGAGUGGACACAAACACAGCCCAAGGCCUGUCAGGCUGCCUCUUAGGCUGCCUCAGUCUGGCUGUUCCCAGUAAACGUCAACCUUAGAAUCAAAUAACCAGCAAUUCCAUGCUGUAGGGGAACCCUGGACAGGAACCUGACAAAUCUCCCCACAGGUCUAAAUACCAUCAUACUGAGAGGGCUGGUGGCUGAGAGCAAACACCACACAGUUAGCCUUGAAACCCUUUUUCCAGGGCACUUAUAUCUUCCUCCUUUCCACCUCCUCUCUGACCAGGGAAACUGGCCUCCUGGCUUAUCCCUGGCCAAGACACCUAGCUCUUCAAAAUGUGUCCCUUUCCAAGCUUUCCCUGGUAUUUGAACAAGCUAGAGUCUUCUUAGAGGACUCCUAUCUAUACUGCUUAGGGCUUCUCUGGACACACAUGUUCACAUGGUUUCUCCCUGUUAAAUUUAAAUUGUGGUUA